Molecule: long non-coding RNA, 1026 nt
Filed under: Homo sapiens (human)
Lineage: Eukaryota; Metazoa; Chordata; Mammalia; Primates; Hominidae
Description: HSALNT0248297
Source: RNAcentral
CCUGGGAUUCCAGCAGGCAGAGGCUGACAUACAAGCUUAGUUGUUGCCAUGUUUCUUCGUAAUAGCUUCCCUCCUGAAUUAAACCCAACCACAAAACGUGGCAGAAAUGGACCACCAGCAGAAGAUGACACAUGUGAAUCCUGAGGACUGGUCUCUUCCAGAGAGAAAGCCUAGGACGAGGUGGAGGCUCCCACCAUUUCUUCGAGGGAGCACACAUUUCCUCACCUUGAUGUCAGCACCAGGAGGCUGACAGUGACAUCCUGUGUGGUGGGCCCGGGAGAACCAGAUGCCAUCACUCUCCCUCUGCAGCACAUCCAGAUCUUUCGCAGCUCAUCUCUUCCCGUCCUCCAGGGCCAGGUGGCCAUCAGAGGCCCCUCCUGCCAUGUGGUAUGCAGCUGUGGUGAACAGUCCUGGCCUGCUCCCGACUUCAGUUUUAAGCGUCUCUUCACUCACAUGGUGUGUGUUUGGCUUGAAAUAUAAAUGCACUGCUAUGUUAAACUAGUGUCCACAUCCUCUUGACAUUUCCAUUGCCUAAAGACACAGAGGCCUCCCUGGACAUUGCAUCCAUUUUCUCACAAGGUCCAGCAGUUCCUCACUAGUGGGUGGGCCAUCUUCCCUGAGGACCUGGCAGGCAGGAAGGAGACAUCCUCCUGCUGGGGAAGGUGUCCUGGUAGAAGACAGGAGGUGAUGGGGCCCAAGUUGGGAAGAAGCUGCCCCACUCCAGGGGUAUGAGGGCGGAUGUGACAUGAGGAGCAAGUGAGGGGAAACGAGGCUGCAGAGACACAGGACGAGGGCGAGCAGGCUCCACCAGCAGAGCACAUGGAGCUCUCUAGACACUUCCAUAAAGACAGGGCCAGGGUGGCUGCUGAAGACCAACUUCCAAGACUGAAAAAGUACACGUCGCACAGACAGAGGUGGCCUCUGCAAAACUGUGAUAUGGCAAGGCCUGGCCUCUGCACCCUCCCCAGAUCUCCCAGCAGCCUUUCUGUCCACGUGGGACACAUCCUGAGGACGCCCCUGGGAGUC